This 494-nucleotide ribosomal RNA is filed under the name uncultured bacterium. Its description in RNAcentral is "partial 16S ribosomal RNA". It matches the Rfam family "Bacterial small subunit ribosomal RNA", at positions 28 to 507 of the family's 1533-position model. The record is from RNAcentral.
GACGAACGCUGGCGGCGUGCUUAACACAUGCAAGUCGAACGGUGAAGCGCCUUCCUUUUUGGUGGGUGUGGAUGAGUGGCGAACGGGUGAGUAACACGUGAGUAACCUGCCCCCUUCUUCUGGAUAACCGCAUGAAAGUGUGGCUAAUACGGGAUAUUCUGGGUCUGUCGCAUGAUGGGUCUGGGAAAGAUAUUGUUUCGGUUGGGGAUGGGCUCGCGGCCUAUCAGCUUGUUGGUGGGGUGAUGGCCUACCAAGGCGGUGACGGGUAGCCGGCCUGAGAGGGUGGACGGCCACACUGGGACUGAGACACGGCCCAGACUCCUACGGGAGGCAGCAGUGGGGAAUAUUGAACAAUGGGCGCAAGCCUGAUGCAGCGACGCCGCGUGAGGGAUGGAGGCCUUCGGGUUGUGAACCUCUUUCGCCAGUGAAGCAGGCCUGCCUCGUUUGUGGGUGGGUUGACGGUAGCUGGAUAAGAAGCGCCGGCUAACUACGUG